UGACCCAGCGACGCCGCGUGAGGGAUGAAGUCUUUCGGGACGUAAACCUCUGUUGUACGGGAAGAAUAAAUUGACGGUACCGUACGAGGAAGGCCCGGCAAACUACGUGCCAGCAGCCGCGGUAAUACGUAGGGGCCAAGCGUUGUCCGGAAUUACUGGGCGUAAAGAGCACGUAGGCGGAUCGUUAAGUCGACUGUGAAAGUCCUGGGCUCAACCCGGGAAUUGCAGUUGAUACUGGCGGACUAGAGUACUGGAGAGGGAAGUGGAAUUCCCGGUGUAGCGGUGAAAUGCGCAGAUAUCGGGAGGAACACCAGUGGCGAAGGCGGCUUCCUGGCCAGUAACUGACGCUGAGGUGCGAAAGCUGGGGGAGCGAACCGGAUUAGAUACCCGGGUAGUCCCAGCCGUAAACGAUGAAUGCUAGGUGU
RNAcentral lists this ribosomal RNA (425 nucleotides) under uncultured delta proteobacterium. Its description in RNAcentral is "bacterial SSU rRNA". It matches the Rfam family "Bacterial small subunit ribosomal RNA", at positions 384 to 823 of the family's 1533-position model. Lineage: Bacteria; Deltaproteobacteria. The record is from RNAcentral.